RNAcentral lists this ribosomal RNA (253 nucleotides) under uncultured bacterium. RNAcentral's name for it is "partial 16S ribosomal RNA". It matches the Rfam family "Bacterial small subunit ribosomal RNA", at positions 524 to 776 of the family's 1533-position model. The record is from RNAcentral.
UACGAAGGGGGCUAGCGUUGUUCGGAAUCACUGGGCGUAAAGGGCGCGUAGGCGGCUAUUCAAGUCGGGGGUGAAAGCCUGUGGCUCAACCACAGAAUUGCCUUCGAUACUGUUUGGCUUGAGACCGGAAGAGGUAAGUGGAACUGCGAGUGUAGAGGUGAAAUUCGUAGAUAUUGGGAAGAACACCGGUGGCGAAGGCGGCUCACUGGCUCGUAUCUGACGCUCAGGCGCGACAGCGUGGGGAUCAAACAGG